Molecule: ribosomal RNA, 618 nt
Filed under: Pseudoalteromonas sp.
Lineage: Bacteria; Pseudomonadati; Pseudomonadota; Gammaproteobacteria; Alteromonadales; Pseudoalteromonadaceae
Description: bacterial SSU rRNA
Rfam family: Bacterial small subunit ribosomal RNA
Source: RNAcentral
CACAUGCAAGUCGAGCGGUAACAGAGAGUAGCUUGCUACUUUGCUGACGAGCGGCGGACGGGUGAGUAAUGCUUGGGAACAUGCCUUGAGGUGGGGGACAACAGUUGGAAACGACUGCUAAUACCGCAUAAUGUCUACGGACCAAAGGGGGCUUCGGCUCUCGCCUUUAGAUUGGCCCAAGUGGGAUUAGCUAGUUGGUGAGGUAAUGGCUCACCAAGGCGACGAUCCCUAGCUGGUUUGAGAGGAUGAUCAGCCACACUGGGACUGAGACACGGCCCAGACUCCUACGGGAGGCAGCAGUGGGGAAUAUUGCACAAUGGGCGCAAGCCUGAUGCAGCCAUGCCGCGUGUGUGAAGAAGGCCUUCGGGUUGUAAAGCACUUUCAGUCAGGAGGAAAGGUUAACGGUUAAUACCCGUUAGCUGUGACGUUACUGACAGAAGAAGCACCGGCUAACUCCGUGCCAGCAGCCGCGGUAAUACGGAGGGUGCGAGCGUUAAUCGGAAUUACUGGGCGUAAAGCGUACGCACGCGGUUUGUUAAGCGAGAUGUGAAAGCCCCGGGGCUCAACCUGGGGAACUGCAUUUUCGAACAGGCGAAACUAGAGUGUGAUAGAGGGUGG